This 497-nucleotide ribosomal RNA is filed under the name uncultured Desulfobulbus sp. RNAcentral's name for it is "bacterial SSU rRNA". It matches the Rfam family "Bacterial small subunit ribosomal RNA", at positions 891 to 1382 of the family's 1533-position model. Lineage: Bacteria; Pseudomonadati; Thermodesulfobacteriota; Desulfobulbia; Desulfobulbales; Desulfobulbaceae. The record is from RNAcentral.
GCUCAGAACCUUAAAUGAAUUGACGGGGCCCGCGACAAGCGGUGGAGUAUGUGGUUUAAUUCGAUGCAACGCGAAGAACCUUACCUGGUCUUGACAUCCCGGAGACCCUUAGGAAACUAGGGGGUGCUUCCAUCUGGAAGAAUCUGGAGACAGGUGCUGCAUGGCUGUCGUCAGCUCGUGUCGUGAGAUGUUGGGUUAAGUCCCGCAACGAGCGCAACCCUUGCCUUUAGUUGCCAGCAGUUCGGCUGGGCACUCUAAAGGGACUGCCGGUGUUAAACCGGAGGAAGGUGGGGAUGACGUCAAGUCCUCAUGGCCUUUAUGACCAGGGCUACACACGUACUACAAUGGCCGAUACAAAGGGCAGCGACACUGCGAGGUGAAGCCAAUCCCGUAAAAUCGGUCUCAGUCCGGAUUGGAGUCUGCAACUCGACUCCAUGAAGUUGGAAUCGCUAGUAAUCGUGGAUCAGCAUGCCACGGUGAAUACGUUCCCGGGCCUU